CCGUACUGAUGCCUGCGGUUGCUGCGGCUACUGCUGCAUGGCCUGCACUACUUCGAUGAGGCCCCUGACCUGCUGAACCAGCAAGUCGAACUGCUCCAUGCCGACUGUCGUUGCCGGAGGAGGAGGAGCCUGGGAAACUGGAGACGUGGCCAGAGUUUGCGGAGCUCGCUGAGAUCUGGCCGUGGAGGUCAUGGAUCGCC
RNAcentral lists this long non-coding RNA (200 nucleotides) under Elaeis guineensis (African oil palm). RNAcentral describes it as "long non-coding RNA (EGUI_LNC055257)". The record is from RNAcentral. Lineage: Eukaryota; Viridiplantae; Streptophyta; Magnoliopsida; Arecales; Arecaceae.